GCCAGGCACAGCAGCAUGUGCACCUUCAGUCCCAGCCACUCAGGAGGCUGAGGCAGAAGGAUCACUUGAGCCCAGGAGUUUGAGACUAGCCUGGGCAAUAUAUUGAGACCCCAUUUCAA
This 119-nucleotide small RNA is filed under the name Marmota monax (woodchuck). The record is from RNAcentral. Lineage: Eukaryota; Metazoa; Chordata; Mammalia; Rodentia; Sciuridae.